UGAGCAGCCUGGAGGUCCAUGAAGAAGGAUCCCACGGACAGGUGAUACUCCCAGCCUUGAAAACGCAGCAGAAUGUUUUAAAGGCCACUCAACAGCUUGCUGUAGCUUUUUCUGUUCCACAUAUGGAGACGUCGUCAGAGUUGCAAGCAGUGCUGGAGUCAAAUUGCGGAAGAUUUUCUGUUGCUAAUGACUGUAAGACUAAGGUGGACAGCGCUAUUUCUUUCAUGUUCUAUAGCUCAUACAUUAUUUUUUGGGUCAUCAAGCUCAUACAUCAUUCACCAUUGAUACCAGUUCUUAUUCGUUUUGUAGGAGGUGCUUGGAGCUGGUGUUGAGUAUUUGUUUGGGGACCUAUUUAAUCGUUGUUUGUUGUCUUAGUCAUUGAAGGAUUUAACAAACUUCAUUAGUAAUAGCUAACAGUGUUUCUCAUGACAUUUAAUGUAUACACAUAACACAACAUAUGCAGAACCAAAAGUAUCCCCUAUUGCCCUCCAACUCCAAGUAUUUGGUUUUUUGGCAGGAGCGGUUGUUAUGUUUAGAGGGCACCAAGGCAGUACAAGUGCAGUGAAGUUUCAGUCCCUAUCCCAACUACUGAGUUUUGGGGUGGUUUCGGGGCUCAAAGAGAGUGAUGCUCUGCCCAUUUAGUUUGCUUCCAAUUAACCUUUCAAAGCCAGUCUUUCUCGUGCGGUGUUGGGGACUCGAAAAGGCAGUGAAAGAGAUUGGAGCUAUUCAGAUGAAUCAAAAGGCAAGAAGUGAAUGAAAACAAGUGCCCCAGUGAAAGAAAACACUUCACGGUGGUCCAUUAAAUAAACUUGACGUACUUAAUCAAUUGCCAGAAAGAAGAAGCAAGGACGUAAGCCUUCAUAAGAUUACGACAAAUUGUGUAGCUGCUGCUGUACAAAACCAACUGGAGUUCACAAGUCAAAAUCACAAGCAGCAUUGGUAUAAAUCUGAAUUACAAUUCGUAUUCUUUGAAGGCACUUACAGUUGCUACAAAUAUAUACACCUAAAGUGAAGCAUUGGUUUUAGGGUUAAUGCUAAGUCUUCACAGCUAAAAAAACUUGGAUUGAUACACCAAUUUCUGUAACUAUGUGUGAGAACUGGGUAGAAUAUGACAUAGAAAAUAAGAGAAUUUGAACCAAAGGGCACCAAUGGAGCUUGCUAGCAGUGCAUGAGAAUACAGAGAAAAAACAAGCAUUGAUACACAAUUUCUGUUCAAUUAGCAUCUUACCUAUUUGCAUGAAGACCUACCAAGUACAUGUAAGUUACGUAACAUCACUCCAAAUCCUUGAAAAGUUUAGGGGUCAAUUUCAAAGUAAUAUCACCAUAAGGCUCUUUUUAUUGUACGUCCACAAGCCCAUGACUUUUUAAAACAUACCACAGUAAUUACCAACUUUUAUCACUAGCCAACUUCAAAGUAAUAUCACAUAUCUCCAAUUCUCAUGAAAAAGAACAGGUAGUUUGAAACAUGGAUAUUUCAAGCUGGGACAGCAAGAGCAAAUAGAUUAUUGCCAUGAGCAGAAUGCUUCAAAAUGUACAGUUUAAACUUAGGGGGUAUCAACUCAAAAAUAUCUUUCUCCCAAGUACUCGGGCAACCCUAUUCUGCCAUUUCCCUCUAUGAAUGGCCAGUGAGGAGCAAAUAGAUUAUUGCCAUGAGCAGAAUGCUUCAAUCGGUCCGCAUCAGAAUAGAUGUACAUCAUAACUGAUGAAAACAUUUCAAGUACUUUCCUAUUAGAAGUUUCAUGGUCAGUAGAAACCCAAACUACAGUAUAAACUAAAUGUACAAGUUCUUGCAAACCAUUCAUAUAGACCGACAAAAUGGUAUCAAUUUUCAAAGAUUACCAACACAAUAAACCACUAUUCUGGGGUUAACAACUCCAAUUUAGGGUUUCUCAAAUUUUCGAAUUAGGGGUUUCUCAAAUUUUAGGUUUUUUUUUUUGUUUUUGUUUUUGCAGCACAACAGUUUAGGGUUUCUCAAAUUGAAGCUCUCUAAUUGAUGAGGAUGAGGAGUAAAUAGUGGGGGUAAUCUAUCUACUUGAAACAAGGGGGGAGAGAGAGAGAGAGAUCUUUGUGGUGGGGGUAAGUACUCUGAAAUCGGUGGUGGUGGCGGUCGACGGAGGUGGGGGAGCUCCGGGAUUGGGUUGCGAUGGUCGCCGGUCGCCAGUGGUGGCAGUCGCGCCCUCUCUCUCUUCUCUGAAAUUUUGAGCGUC
Molecule: long non-coding RNA, 2207 nt
Organism: Rhododendron vialii
Lineage: Eukaryota; Viridiplantae; Streptophyta; Magnoliopsida; Ericales; Ericaceae
Exons: 2
Source: RefSeq, a predicted model, not a curated record